GACGAACGCUGGCGGCGUGCUUCAUACAUGCAAGUCGAACGAGAAGCUCACUUCGGUGAGUGGAAAGUGGCGGACGGGUGAGUAAAAUGUAGAGAAUCUGCCCUAGAGAGGGGGAUAGCAGUUGGAAACGACUAUUAAUACCCCAUAUGAGCGUACUUGAAAUAGUAUUCUUGAAAACUCCGGUGCUCUAGGAUGAGUCUGCAUCUGAUUAGCUAGUUGGCGGUGUAAUGGACCACCAAGGCGACGAUCAGUAGCUGGUUUGAGAGGAUGAUCAGCCACAAUGGGACUGAGACACGGCCCAUACUCCUACGGGAGGCAGCAGUAGGGAAUUUUUGCGCAAUGGGGGAAACCCUGACGCAGCAACGCCGCGUGAACGAGACGCCCUUCGGGGUGUAAA
This 397-nucleotide ribosomal RNA is filed under the name uncultured bacterium. Its description in RNAcentral is "bacterial SSU rRNA". It matches the Rfam family "Bacterial small subunit ribosomal RNA", at positions 28 to 429 of the family's 1533-position model. The record is from RNAcentral.